GAUGAACGCUGGCGAGAUGCUUUACACAUGCAAGUCGUACGAGAGUUUUAAUCAAGUGGCGGACGGUGAGUAACACGUAAGAAUUUGCCUUUAGGAGGGGACAACAAUUGGAAACGAUUGCUAAUACCCCAUAUGCUUUCGAGUGAAAUGGACUUUUCCGCCUAAAGAGAAGCUUGCGGCUGAUUAGCUUGUUGGUAAGGUAAUGGCUUACCAAGGCGACGAUCAGUANCU
RNAcentral lists this ribosomal RNA (231 nucleotides) under uncultured bacterium. RNAcentral describes it as "partial 16S ribosomal RNA". It matches the Rfam family "Bacterial small subunit ribosomal RNA", at positions 28 to 288 of the family's 1533-position model. The record is from RNAcentral.